Oncorhynchus tshawytscha (Chinook salmon) is the source of this 875-nucleotide long non-coding RNA. The record is from Ensembl. Lineage: Eukaryota; Metazoa; Chordata; Actinopteri; Salmoniformes; Salmonidae.
AGAAUCUUAGGCUUAUCAUCCAGGCAUGGGCCUUUCAGGAGAUGCUGCGCUCUGUUUGACGAUGAACCGGAUCAAGGUCUCAACAGCAACACUGGCACGCAUCCUACAGAAACAAACAUAUUCAAAUGAAGCAAAUUUAUCGAGUGCCUUUCGAGCGUAAUUCUGAAAGGGUGAAACGACUGCGGCAUGAUUAUGCAGAGAGAGUUUUACGAAUGGAUGGAGAGGAGAUCCAGCAUGAGUUCAUUUACGUAGAUGAGGCUGGGUUCAACCUGACGAGAACACGAAGGAGGGGAAGAAACAUCAUUGGCCACAGGGCUAUAGUCAAUGUCCCAGGGCAACGUGGGGGUAAUAUAACACUCUGUGCAGCCAUUACACAGAAUGGGGUCCUCCACCGCCAUGCCCAUAUGGGCCCUUACAACACAGCACUCAUACUUACAUUCUUGGACCAAUUGCACAACAUAAGAGCAGCAAAUCAAAUCAAUCAUAUGCAAUACAUUGUUGUCUGGGACAAUGUGUCUUUCCACCGCUCUGCUCUGGUUCAGAUCUGGUUUCAUCAACAUCCACAUUUCACCGUCCUAUAUCUUCCACCAUACUCUCCAUUCCUCAACCCUAUAGAAGAGUUUUUCUCGGCAUGGCGGUGGAAGGUAUAUGAUCUCCGUCUCCAGGCUGAGGUACCCCUCAUCCAAGCCAUGGAGGAGGCCUGUGACCAGACGGAGGUAGCAAAUCAAAUCAAAUCAAAUCAAAUUGAUUUAUAUAGCCCUUCGUACAUCAGCUGAUAUCUCAAAGUGCUGUACAGAAACCCAGCCUAAAACCCCAAACAGCAAGCAAUGCAGGUGUAGAAGCACGGUGGCUAGGAAAAACUCCCUAAAAAGGCC